GACGAACGCUGGCGGCGUGCUUAACACAUGCAAGUCGAACGGAAAGACCCUGCUUUUGUGGGGUGCUCGAGUGGCGAACGGGUGAGUAACACGUGAGUAACCUGCCCUUGACUUUGGGAUAACUUCAGGAAACUGGGGCUAAUACCGGAUAGGAGCUCCUGCUGCAUGGUGGGGGUUGGAUAGUUUCGGCGGUUGGGGAUGGACUCGCGGCUUAUCAGCUUGUUGGUGGGGUAGUGGCUUACCAAGGCUUUGACGGGUAGCCGGCCUGAGAGGGUGACCGGCCACAUUGGGACUGAGAUACGGCCCAGACUCCUACGGGAGGCAGCAGUGGGGAAUAUUGCACAAUGGGCGGAAGCCUGAUGCAGCAACGCCGCGUGCGGGAUGACGGCCUUCGGGUUGUAAACCGCUUUCGCCUGUGACGAAGCGUGAGUGACGGUAAUGGGUAAAGAAGCACCGGCUAACUACGUG
Molecule: ribosomal RNA, 468 nt
Filed under: uncultured bacterium
Lineage: Bacteria
Description: partial 16S ribosomal RNA
Rfam family: Bacterial small subunit ribosomal RNA
Source: RNAcentral